RNAcentral lists this ribosomal RNA (253 nucleotides) under uncultured bacterium. RNAcentral's name for it is "partial 16S ribosomal RNA". It matches the Rfam family "Bacterial small subunit ribosomal RNA", at positions 524 to 776 of the family's 1533-position model. The record is from RNAcentral.
UACGAAGGGAGCAAGCGUUGUUCGGAAUUACUGGGCGUAAAGGGCGUGUAGGCGGACUGAAUCGUUAGAGGUGAAAUACCUGGGCUCAACCUAGGAACUGCCUUUAAUACAUUCAGACUAGAAUCCGGGAGAGGAUAGUGGAAUACCCAGUGUAGAGGUGAAAUUCGUAGAUAUUGGGUGGAACACCAGUGGCGAAGGCGACUAUCUGGACCGGCAUUGACGCUGAGGCGCGAAAGCGUGGGGAGCAAACAGG